This 211-nucleotide long non-coding RNA is filed under the name Homo sapiens (human). Its description in RNAcentral is "non-protein coding lnc-DUSP15-2:1". Lineage: Eukaryota; Metazoa; Chordata; Mammalia; Primates; Hominidae. The record is from RNAcentral.
ACCGUUCUUUUAACUGCGCAGGCGCGCCGGAAGCACCUAGAGAGCGGCGCGUGCGCAGCGGGAGUCGAAGCGGAGAUCCCGGGGUCGCGCGAGAGCCGCAAGCGGAGUUGGUGGGCGCUAUGCUAUCACCCGAGGCAGAGCGAGUGCUGCGGUACCUUGUAGAAGUGGAGGAGCUCGCCGAGGAGGUGCUGGCGGACAAGCGGCAGAUAGC